Molecule: ribosomal RNA, 523 nt
Filed under: uncultured bacterium
Lineage: Bacteria
Description: partial 16S ribosomal RNA
Rfam family: Bacterial small subunit ribosomal RNA
Source: RNAcentral
GACGAACGCUGGCGGCGUGCCUAAUACAUGCAAGUCGAACGCUUUUUCUUUCACCGGAGCUUGCUCCACCGAAAGAAAAAGAGUGGCGAACGGGUGAGUAACACGUGGGUAACCUGCCCAUCAGAAGGGGAUAACACUUGGAAACAGGUGCUAAUACCGUAUAACACUAUUUACCGCAUGGAAGAAAGUUGAAAGGCGCUUUUGCGUCACUGAUGGAUGGACCCGGGGUGCAUUAGCUAGUUGGUGAGGUAACGGCUCACCAAGGCAACGAUGCAUAGCCGACCUGAGAGGGUGAUCGGCCACACUGGGACUGAGACACGGCCCAGACUCCUACGGGAGGCAGCAGUAGGGAAUCUUCGGCAAUGGACGAAAGUCUGACCGAGCAACGCCGCGUGAGUGAAGAAGGUUUUCGGAUCGUAAAACUCUGUUGUUAGAGAAGAACAAGGAUGAGAGUAGAACGUUCAUCCCUUGACGGUAUCUAACCAGAAAGCCACGGCUAACUACGUGCCAGCCGCCGCUGUAA